RNAcentral lists this long non-coding RNA (199 nucleotides) under Elaeis guineensis (African oil palm). RNAcentral describes it as "long non-coding RNA (EGUI_LNC074657)". The record is from RNAcentral. Lineage: Eukaryota; Viridiplantae; Streptophyta; Magnoliopsida; Arecales; Arecaceae.
AAUAAUAGAUCAAUAGAGACUGAGUAUGCUGUAGAUGUGUAGGAUAAAUUUUGAUUGUAAUAUUAGUUGUAGAACUGGAUGCUAUGCCAUUAGAUGCCAUGACAUAGUACUACAAAGACCAUAGCACCAUAGCCCUUGCUAAGGUCUUGCCAGAAGUUCAAAUAUAUAGAGCACUGAUAUAUGCUACUACCUCAUAUCG